RNAcentral lists this transfer RNA (71 nucleotides) under Loxodonta africana (African savanna elephant). It matches the Rfam family "tRNA". From Rfam's summary of the family: Transfer RNA (tRNA) molecules are approximately 80 nucleotides in length. Their secondary structure includes four short double-helical elements and three loops (D, anti-codon, and T loops). The record is from Rfam by way of RNAcentral. Lineage: Eukaryota; Metazoa; Chordata; Mammalia; Proboscidea; Elephantidae.
GCAGUGGUGGUUCAGUGGUAUAAUUCUCCCUUUUCAUGUGGGAGAUCCUGGUUUGAUUCCUGGCCAGGGCA